Molecule: ribosomal RNA, 1241 nt
Filed under: metagenome
Description: bacterial LSU rRNA
Rfam family: Bacterial large subunit ribosomal RNA
Source: RNAcentral
UGAAUACGAGACGCUACGGCGUCGAAGCAGUCGAUGUCAUACUUCCAAGAAAAGCUUGCAAUGUCAUAAACAAAUAAUGCCUGUACCAUAACCGACACAGGUGGGUAGGUAGAGUAUACUAAGGGGCGCGAGAUAACUCUCUCUAAGGAACUCGGCAAAAUGACUCCGUAACUUCGGGAGAAGGAGUGCCUUAUUUAUAAGGUUGCAAUAACAAGAUCCAAGCAACUGUUUAUCAAAAACACAGGUCUCCGCUAAGUCGUAAGACGAUGUAUGGGGGCUGACGCCUGCCCAGUGCCAGAAGGUUAAAGAAGUUGGUUAGCAUCCGCGAAGCUGAUAACUGAAGCCCUGGUGAACGGCGGCCGUAACUAUAACGGUCCUAAGGUAGCGAAAUUCCUUGUCGGGUAAGUUCCGACCCGCACGAAAGGCGUAAUGAUUUGGAUACUGUCUCGGAGAGGGACUCGGUGAAAUAGACUUGUCUGUGAAGAUGCGGACUACCUGCACCUGGACAGAAAGACCCUAUGAAGCUUUACUGUAACUUGAAAUUGAAAUUGGACUUUAUUUGCGCAGUAUAGGUGGGAGGCGUUGAGAAUAUUCUUGCGGGAAUAUUGGAGCCAUCAGUGAGAUACCACUCUUGUAAUGUUAGAUUUCUAACUUUGCAUCAUUAUCUGGUCAAAGAACAGUUUCAGGCGGGCAGUUUGACUGGGGCGGUCGCCUCCCAAACGGUAACGGAGGCGUACAAAGGUUUCCUCUGAACGGGUAGAAAUCGUAUCUAGAGUGUAAAGGCAUAAGGAAGCUUGACUGUGAGACCUACAAGUCGAGCAGGGACGAAAGUCGGUCUUAGUGAUCUGACGGUGCUGAGUGGAAAGGCCGUCACUCAACGGAUAAAAGUUACUCUAGGAUAACAGGCUGAUCUCCCCCAAGAGUUCACAUCGACGGGGAGGUUUGGCACCUCGAUGUCGGCUCAUCGCAUCCUGGGGCGGUAGUACGUCCCAAGGGUUGGGCUGUUCGCCCAUGAAAGCGGUACGCGAGUUGGGUUCAGAACGUCGUGAGACAGUUCGGUCCAUAUCCGGUGUAGGCGUUAGAAUAUUGAGAGGAGCCUUCUUUAGUACGAGAGGACCGAGAAGGACAUACCUCUGGUGUACCAGUUAUCGUGCCAACGGUAAACGCUGGGUAGCUAUGUAUGGAGAGGAUAACCGCUGAAAUCAUCUAAGUGGGAAGCCCACCUCAAGAUAAGUAUUCUC